GAUGAACGCUAGGCGGGAGGCCUAAACACAUGCAAGCCGAGCGGUAUUGUUUCUCGGAAAUGAGAGAGCGGCGUACGGGUGCGGAACACGUGUGCAACCUGCCUUUAUCGUGGGGGAUAGCCUUUCGAAAGGAAGAUUAAUACUCCAUAAUAUAUUGAACGGCAUCGUUUGAUAUUGAAAGCUCCGGCGGAUAGAGAUGGGCACGCGCAAGAUUAGAUAGUUGGUAGGGUAACGGCCUACCAAGUCUACGAUCAUUAGGGGUUCUGAGAGGAAGGUCCCCCACACUGGUACUGAGACACGGACCAGACUCCUACGGGAGGCAGCAGUGAGGAAUAUUGGUCAAUGGGCGAGAGCCUGAACCAGCCAAGUCGCGUGAAGGAAGAAGGUUCUAUGGAUUGUAAACUUCUUUUGCAGGGGAAUAAAGGACGGUACGUGUACUGUUUUGUAUGUACCUUGCGAAUAAGGAUCGGCUAACUCCGUG
This 481-nucleotide ribosomal RNA is filed under the name uncultured bacterium. Its description in RNAcentral is "bacterial SSU rRNA". It matches the Rfam family "Bacterial small subunit ribosomal RNA", at positions 28 to 507 of the family's 1533-position model. The record is from RNAcentral.